This is a non-coding RNA of Periconia macrospinosa, 88 nucleotides long. NCBI's taxonomy places the organism in Eukaryota, Fungi, Ascomycota, Dothideomycetes, Pleosporales, Periconiaceae. The record is from the annotation of a GenBank genome assembly.
GGCCUCGUGGCCUAAUGGUAAGGCGCUACUUUCCGGUUUCUAAACUGGAGUCUGGUAGAGAUUGCAGGUUCGAGUCCUGCCGUGGUCG